CAAAACGUUCAAAAAUGUAUGAACAAGAGCGAUUAUUAUAAAUAAUAAAGUAG
Caenorhabditis elegans is the source of this 53-nucleotide non-coding RNA. NCBI's taxonomy places the organism in Eukaryota, Metazoa, Nematoda, Chromadorea, Rhabditida, Rhabditidae. The record is from Ensembl.